AGCUUCGGCCAUCCGGCGAGGGAUGGGCCCGCGGUGCAUUAGCUAGUUGGUGGGGUAACGGCCCACCAAGGCGACGAUGCGUAGCUGGUCUGAGAGGAUGAUCAGCCACACUGGGACUGAGACACGGCCCAGACUCCUACGGGAGGCAGCAGCCAGGAAUCUUGGGCAAUGGGCGAAAGCCUGACCCAGCAACACCGUGUGGGCGAUGAAGGCCUUCGGGUCGUAAAGCCCUGUUGAUAGGGACGAAGGGCGAAGGGUUAAUAGCCC
Molecule: ribosomal RNA, 267 nt
Filed under: uncultured Rubrobacter sp.
Lineage: Bacteria; Bacillati; Actinomycetota; Rubrobacteria; Rubrobacterales; Rubrobacteraceae
Description: partial 16S ribosomal RNA
Rfam family: Bacterial small subunit ribosomal RNA
Source: RNAcentral